UUACGACCAUAUCAAGUUGAAACACCGUUUCGCGUACGAUCAUCGAAGUUAAGCAAUGUCGAUCCUGGUCAGUACCUAGGGUGACCGCUUGGGAAUACCAGGUGCUGUAAG
Acanthosepion pharaonis is the source of this 111-nucleotide non-coding RNA. The record is from the annotation of a GenBank genome assembly. NCBI's taxonomy places the organism in Eukaryota, Metazoa, Mollusca, Cephalopoda, Sepiida, Sepiidae.